AACGAACGCUGGCGGCAUGCCUAACACAUGCAAGUCGAACGAGACCUUCGGGUCUAGUGGCGCACGGGUGAGUAACGCGUGGGAACCUGCCUUUAGGUUCGGAAUAACUCAGAGAAAUUUGAGCUAAUACCGGAUGAUGUCUUCGGACCAAGGAUUUAUCGCCUUUAGAUGGGCCCGCGUUGGAUUAGCUAGUUGGUGGAGUAAAGGCCUACCAAGGCGACGAUCCAUAGCUGGUCUGAGAGGAUGAUCAGCCACACUGGGACUGAGACACGGCCCAGACUCCUACGGGAGGCAGCAGUGGGGAAUAUUGGACAAUGGGCGAAAGCCUGAUCCAGCAAUGCCGCGUGAGUGAUGAAGGCCUUAGGGUUGUAAAGCUCUUUUACCCGAGAUGAUAAUGACAGUAUCGGGAGAAUAAGCGCCGGCUAACUCCGUG
This 433-nucleotide ribosomal RNA is filed under the name uncultured bacterium. RNAcentral's name for it is "partial 16S ribosomal RNA". It matches the Rfam family "Bacterial small subunit ribosomal RNA", at positions 29 to 507 of the family's 1533-position model. The record is from RNAcentral.